AUUGAACGCUGGCGGCAGGCCUAACACAUGCAAGUCGAGCGGAUGAAGGGAGCUUGCUCCUGGAUUCAGCGGCGGACGGGUGAGUAAUGCCUAGGAAUCUGCCUGGUAGUGGGGGAUAACGUCCGGAAACGGGCGCUAAUACCGCAUACGUCCUGAGGGAGAAAGUGGGGGAUCUUCGGACCUCACGCUAUCAGAUGAGCCUAGGUCGGAUUAGCUAGUUUGUGGGGUAAAGGCCUACCAAGGCGACGAUCCGUAACUGGUCUGAGAGGAUGAUCAGUCACACUGGAACUGAGACACGGUCCAGAAUCCUACGGGAGGCAGCAGUGGGGAAUAUUGGACAAUGGGAGAAAGCCUGAUCCAGCCAUGACGCGUGUGUGAAGAAGGUAUUCGGAUUGUAAAGCACUUUAAGUUGGGAGGAAGGGAAGUAAGUUAAUACCUUGCUGUUUUGACGUUACCAACAGAAUAAGCACCGGCUAACUUCGUG
This 484-nucleotide ribosomal RNA is filed under the name uncultured bacterium. RNAcentral describes it as "partial 16S ribosomal RNA". It matches the Rfam family "Bacterial small subunit ribosomal RNA", at positions 30 to 507 of the family's 1533-position model. The record is from RNAcentral.